Non-coding RNA from Cricetulus griseus (Chinese hamster), 472 nucleotides. The record is from RefSeq and is a predicted model, not a curated record. NCBI's taxonomy places the organism in Eukaryota, Metazoa, Chordata, Mammalia, Rodentia, Cricetidae.
UCUGUGUUCAGAUAACAGCUAAUCUGGAAGAAGCUCACCGAUGGUUUAAAUGCAGGUUCGAUGGCCUACAACUUGAGCUGACAAAAAACCGGUUGCAGAGGCUUCCCCGGGAAGACAGGUGGCCAGAAGAGAAUCAAGAUAGGAGUCGUGACAUUGCAUCCAGCCAGUCUGUUCUACAUCGAUGGGAAACUAAGCAAAACCUCGGGCUUAUGUCUAAGAAGUACCAUUCUGACACAGAGAGGAAGAAAUGUCCUUGACAAAGGAAUCCUUGUGAGAAGUUAUGCCUCUAUCAUUCUGCUGGCCAGCAAGCAGGGCUGGCCUGUUUCUAUGUUGUAAAAACAUGCUGUGUGCUGAAGAUUUUGGACUUUGUCCUUUAUGAACUCUUUUAUAUUACUGCAGAACCAACCCAUCUUUUUUGUCCUUUCCCAAUUUUCCACACAAUAAAUUUACAUUAGUUUGUUUUAUGAUAGUA